CAGCAGCCGCGGUAAAACAGAGGGUGCGAGCGUUAAUCGGAUUUACUGGGCGUAAAGCGUGCGUAGGCGGCUUCUUAAGUCGGAUGUGAAAUCCCUGAGCUUAACUUAGGAAUUGCAUUCGAUACUGGGAAGCUAGAGUAUGGGAGAGGAUGGUAGAAUUCCAGGUGUAGCGGUGAAAUGCGUAGAGAUCUGGAGGAAUACCGAUGGCGAAGGCAGCCAUCUGGCCUAAUACUGACGCUGAGGUACGAAAGCAUGGGGAGCAAACAGGAUUAGAUACCCCUGUAGCCCUGUCUCUUAUACA
RNAcentral lists this ribosomal RNA (301 nucleotides) under uncultured bacterium. RNAcentral describes it as "partial 16S ribosomal RNA". It matches the Rfam family "Bacterial small subunit ribosomal RNA", at positions 509 to 809 of the family's 1533-position model. The record is from RNAcentral.